UAGGGAAUCUUCCGCAAUGGGCGAAAGCCUGACGGAGCAACGCCGCGUGAGUGAUGAAGGUCUUCGGAUCGCAAAACUCUGUUAUUAGGGAAGAACAAAUGUGUAAGUAACUAUGCACGUCUUGACGGUACCUAAUCAGAAAGCCACGGCUAACUACGUGCCAGCAGCCGCGGUAAUACGUAGGUGGCAAGCGUUAUCCGGAAUUAUUGGGCGUAAAGCGCGCGUAGGCGGUUUUUUAAGUCUGAUGUGAAAGCCCACGGCUCAACCGUGGAGGGUCAUUGGAAACUGGAAAACUUGAGUGCAGAAGAGGAAAGUGGAAUUCCAUGUGUAGCGGUGAAAUGCGCAGAGAUAUGGAGGAACACCAGUGGCGAAGGCGACUUUCUGGUCUGUAACUGACGCUGAUGUGCGAAAGCGUGGGGAUCAAACAGG
Molecule: ribosomal RNA, 429 nt
Filed under: Actinomycetes bacterium
Lineage: Bacteria; Bacillati; Actinomycetota; Actinomycetes
Description: Actinobacteria bacterium partial 16S ribosomal RNA
Rfam family: Bacterial small subunit ribosomal RNA
Source: RNAcentral